RNAcentral lists this ribosomal RNA (429 nucleotides) under Bacillus thuringiensis. RNAcentral's name for it is "bacterial SSU rRNA". It matches the Rfam family "Bacterial small subunit ribosomal RNA", at positions 114 to 530 of the family's 1533-position model. The record is from RNAcentral. Lineage: Bacteria; Bacillati; Bacillota; Bacilli; Caryophanales; Bacillaceae.
CACGUGGGUAACCUGCCCAAGAGACUGGGAUAACACCUGGAAACAGAUGCUAAUACCGGAUAACAACACUAGACGCAUGUCUAGAGUUUAAAAGAUGGUUCUGCUAUCACUCUUGGAUGGACCUGCGGUGCAUUAGCUAGUUGGUAAGGUAACGGCUUACCAAGGCAAUGAUGCAUAGCCGAGUUGAGAGACUGAUCGGCCACAUUGGGACUGAGACACGGCCCAAACUCCUACGGGAGGCAGCAGUAGGGAAUCUUCCACAAUGGACGCAAGUCUGAUGGAGCAACGCCGCGUGAGUGAAGAAGGGUUUCGGCUCGUAAAGCUCUGUUGGUAGUGAAGAAAGAUAGAGGUAGUAACUGGCCUUUAUUUGACGGUAAUUACUUAGAAAGUCACGGCUAACUACGUGCCAGCAGCCGCGGUAAUACGUAG